Molecule: ribosomal RNA, 800 nt
Filed under: Kocuria turfanensis
Lineage: Bacteria; Bacillati; Actinomycetota; Actinomycetes; Micrococcales; Micrococcaceae
Description: bacterial SSU rRNA
Rfam family: Bacterial small subunit ribosomal RNA
Source: RNAcentral
GCGGGAAGUGAUUAGUGGCGAACGGGUGAGUAAUACGUGAGUAACCUGCCCUUGACUCUGGGAUAAGCCUGGGAAACCGGGUCUAAUACUGGAUACGACCCCCUAUCGCAUGGUGGGGGGUGGAAAGGGUUUGACUGGUUUUGGAUGGGCUCACGGCCUAUCAGCUUGUUGGUGGGGUAAUGGCUCACCAAGGCGACGACGGGUAGCCGGCCUGAGAGGGUGACCGGCCACACUGGGACUGAGACACGGCCCAGACUCCUACGGGAGGCAGCAGUGGGGAAUAUUGCACAAUGGGCGCAAGCCUGAUGCAGCGACGCCGCGUGAGGGAUGACGGCCUUCGGGUUGUAAACCUCUUUCAGCAGGGAAGAAGCCACAAGUGACGGUACCUGCAGAAGAAGCGCCGGCUAACUACGUGCCAGCAGCCGCGGUAAUACGUAGGGCGCAAGCGUUGUCCGGAAUUAUUGGGCGUAAAGAGCUCGUAGGCGGUUUGUCGCGUCUGCUGUGAAAGCCCGGGGCUCAACCCCGGGUCUGCAGUGGGUACGGGCAGACUAGAGUGCAGUAGGGGAGACUGGAAUUCCUGGUGUAGCGGUGAAAUGCGCAGAUAUCAGGAGGAACACCGAUGGCGAAGGCAGGUCUCUGGGCUGUUACUGACGCUGAGGAGCGAAAGCAUGGGGAGCGAACAGGAUUAGAUACCCUGGUAGUCCAUGCCGUAAACGUUGGGCACUAGGUGUGGGGGACAUUCCACGUUCUCCGCGCCGUAGCUAACGCAUUAAGUGCCCCGCCUGGGGAGUACGGCCGCA